ACAAAUCCAGGAGUCUUUUCAACUGGCAACUGGAACGCCUGGGAGACAGAGUCACCCGUUCAACUGAAAAAAAGGGGACUGAAACAGGGAGCUAGGCCAGGAGAUUCCCCAGCGAAAAAACACCACAAGUCUCCAGUGGCUGUUUCAGCUGGCGCAGUGGG
Cebus imitator (Panamanian white-faced capuchin) is the source of this 161-nucleotide long non-coding RNA. RefSeq lists it as uncharacterized. Lineage: Eukaryota; Metazoa; Chordata; Mammalia; Primates; Cebidae. The record is from RefSeq and is a predicted model, not a curated record. The transcript has 3 exons.